Molecule: ribosomal RNA, 454 nt
Filed under: uncultured Caryophanaceae bacterium
Lineage: Bacteria; Bacillati; Bacillota; Bacilli; Caryophanales; Caryophanaceae
Description: bacterial SSU rRNA
Rfam family: Bacterial small subunit ribosomal RNA
Source: RNAcentral
GCUCCUCCUUGACGGUUAGACGGCGGAGUGGGUCGGAGUAACACUAGGGCAACCUGCCCUGUAGUUGGGGAGUAACUCCGGGAAACCGGGGACGUAAUACCGAACUGAAUCAUUUCUUCUACAUGAAGGGAAUGCUGAAAGACGGCUUCGGCUGUCGCUACGGGAUGGGCCCGCGGCGCAUUAGCUAGUUGGUAAGGUAAUGGCUUACCAAGGCGACGAUGCGUAGCCGACCUGAGAGGGUGAUCGGCCACACUGGGACUGAGACACGGCCCAGACUCCUACGGGAGGCAGCAGUAGGGAAUCUUCCACAAUGGACGAAAGUCUGAUGGAGCAACGCCGCGUGAGCGAAGAAGGUUUUCGGAUCGUAAAGCUCUGUUGUGAGGGAAGAACAAGUACAGGAGUAACUGUCUGUACCUUGACGGUACCUCAUUAGAAAGCCACGGCUAACUACGUG